RNAcentral lists this transfer RNA (70 nucleotides) under Ceratina okinawana. Its description in RNAcentral is "tRNA-Val". The record is from RNAcentral. Lineage: Eukaryota; Metazoa; Arthropoda; Insecta; Hymenoptera; Apidae.
AAAAUUUUAGUUUAAUAUAAAAAAAUUUUUCGUUUACAUUGAAAAGAUUAAAAUUUAAUUUAAAAUUUUA